RNAcentral lists this long non-coding RNA (1611 nucleotides) under Bemisia tabaci. RNAcentral describes it as "lncRNA ENSSSA3NGG013901". The record is from RNAcentral. Lineage: Eukaryota; Metazoa; Arthropoda; Insecta; Hemiptera; Aleyrodidae.
UUUCAACACGUCUGUCAUGACAUACGUAGUCGGAGGAUUCUUCGUUUCCUGAUUGGCUAAAGUCCAACUGAAGACAUGCCCAUCUUAGUUUCAUUUCAAAUCAGUUGAUUGAGAAGUUGCAAUUAAACUCCUCAUUCAAUUUUUUUUUUCUAUUUGAAGGAUUGGUACAGCUGUUUGGUCGCAAGACAAUUGCUACAAAACUCUCUUAUCUGCUAUCCUCCUGGCAAAGUGUUUCAUCAGUCAGUUAUGGGAAAGCUCAGAGCAUGUCAGCCGUCAGCUACCCGGGAUUGGACCAGUCUUGUCAUCUCACUUGGUUGCAGCACGGAAAGUCACUCUUAAGGACAUUCUCGAUUCCAAUCCCAGAGACCUAGAAAAGGUUUUGAACCGUCUUCCUCCCUUCGGGAACAAUCUCAUUGACUCUGUCAAAGUUUUGCCCCAGUUUGAGCUUGAGAUCCAAAUGUCUGACACCACAGGGAGAUUUUAGUGAAAGUCAGAAUUAGUAAUUACGCCAAUGUUUUGAAGUCUGAAAAUCUUCAAGAAAUGUUCUAUCUCCUAGUCGGGAACUCAAAUAAUACCAUCAUUCACAAAUCAAAAUUCUCUUUGGACAGCCUAAUGAGAAGAGGUGGCUUUUAUGAGAUCAAUUUGUGUGUCCUGGAAGGUCCAUCUCAAACCAUUUAUGCCAAUUUGCUGAGUAAAAAUUGGGUUGGUCUUGAUGUCAAUAAAACCUUGGGUGAUAAUAGAUCAAUCUCACCUGAAUCAGAGUCUGCUGCUAUUUUUGAACCCAAGACAAAACCAAAGAGUUCAGAAAAACUGACUGGAUUGAAAAGAAAAAACAUGUCCAGAGCAGCUCUUGCAAUAAAAAAGUUGCUCAGGCGGCCAAAUCAAACUGUCCAACACCAGCGGUAUGUUUAAUUUCUUGGAUUAAUUUAUCUUCUCAUCAUCAUUGAUGCAGUAGAAUUGGAUUGCAUUUUGCAAUAAGGAACCAGGAGCAUUCCAAUGUUGCUAGAGUUGUGCAACUUACAUUCUUUGCAAAAAAUUACUGAAAUCGUGCACAAAGUUAAAUUUACAAAGGUAAUUUUCGUCUUAAAUUCGUCGUUAAUUGGGAGUAAAGAUAAAACUUGUUCAGAUGAUCAGUUUAUAUUUGCAAGGUAAAAAAAGUUGCACAAUGUUGAGGACAUUGGAAUACUCUUGGUUCCUUUUUGCAAAAUGCAAUCCAAUUUUGCAGUAGAAAAUUGCAGUUUCAAUUUUCCGUGCAAGUUUUUAGCAUGAAACUGCUGAGAACUGAAAAAAGUGUAACGUUUCCAAAAAAAGUGGACUUCACUCUAUGAAGCCCAUUUCUCAUGUCUCUCUAAUGAUUGAUGAGAUUUAAUAUUCAUCCAUCGUCAUGUAUAUUGGGCGUGCCAACUAAACAUGUUUCAUAGGAAUGGUGGGAAAUCUUUCAACCAAAUUAAAAAAUUAAAGCAAGAAGCAGAAAAUUCGAUCUUCCGAACCACAAAAGUCUGUGGAUUUAGCUGACAAACAAAAGAGUAUCGAUUGUAUCAAAAUAUGUUGAUCUCUGUGGGACAUACAAUGGAAGAUGUUUUUUUAAAGGAAUUUUCCCGAGAAAAGUGA